RNAcentral lists this ribosomal RNA (253 nucleotides) under uncultured bacterium. RNAcentral's name for it is "partial 16S ribosomal RNA". It matches the Rfam family "Bacterial small subunit ribosomal RNA", at positions 524 to 776 of the family's 1533-position model. The record is from RNAcentral.
GACAGAGGUGCCAAGCGUUAGGCGGAAUCACUGGGCUUAAAGCGUGUGUAGGCGGAUCGUUAAGUACCUUGUGAAAUCCCACGGCUCAACCGUGGAACUGCUGGGUAUACUGGCGAUCUUGAGCCACCUAGGGGCGAGCGGAACAAGCGGUGGAGCGGUGAAAUGCGUAGAGAUCGGGAGGAACACCUGUGGCGAAGGCGGCCACCUGGGCCGACCCUGACGCUGAGGCGCGAAGGCGUGGGGAGCGAACGGG